CUCGACAGAGAUAUGCUGCAUACUCGGUUUGGUAGCUCCCACGAGUGCCACUCCAGAGACGAGCGCUGUGCUUUUGCGUUGGUGUCGUUCGUGCAGGUUGGACUUGCUCUCCACGAACUGGUUAGUGUGGAGGUAGCUGUAUAGUCGCGACCGGGCGGGACGGGUGUGUUCACAAUCCCAGGGACGAGUAUGAUUACAGCUCUUAUUUGAUAUUGGGUCUGAGUUGACACUGUUGUACAGAUGAUUAGAUUUAGAGUAUGAUAGUAUAGUUGCAUAUAGCUGUAAAUUUGUUCCAGCUUUCUUUACUAUUCCUGCUUAUCCCUGUAAACUUAGUGGGUGGACCGAUGAGUUUGAGGGCGGUACCCACUGAGGACUACUUAUUUUUACAGUAGUUCUCACGCCCAGUUGUUACCACUGUUUUUGCAGAGCCGUCGCCUUCGGCUGCUGCUGUUGCUGAUCUUGAUCGUGGCAAGGGCGUCGCGAGUUAGAGCCCUUCCAGUCGAGUCGCAGAGCUAGAGGAGCACCAGCUACAGGUAGUUGUAGUUGUUGGGUCUUUACAUACAGUUGUUGUUUUUCGCCAGAGCGAGUAUUUAUAUACUUUGGAUGACAUGUAUGUAUUGAACCACAGUUUAUAUUUGGUUUACUUUCCUAGCUGCUCUAUACUACUGUUUGUAGUAUUAUAUGAUUAAGGUACUUUUACUUCUUUGCUUCGUAUUCAGGGAAAAUACCUAUAUAUAGGGCGGGUCUGUUAGUGAGCCCGGAAAAGCGAGUAAUCCGGGGCGUGACAGACGGUCAGUAAGAAUUUUGAAAGGCUGAUAGACAAAUCAAAAUAGUCUAUAGUACAGAUAAAUUUUUAUAUGAUUUUACCUAUAGUAUUUAAUAAUUUUUUAGUAAUUGUUGAAAAGAAAAAAUAUUCGUAAUUUAUUGAUAAAAUAAACAUAUUAUUUUAUAUUUUUGAUAAUCUUAAAAAAUAAUAUAAUUGUGUGAACCAAAUACUAAACUACUAUAUUCUUAAUGAUAAAAUGAAUAAUAAUUAAAUUCCUAAGAAUUUUUUUAUUUUUAGUAAUCUUUUACAAAGCGAACCAGAU
This 1088-nucleotide long non-coding RNA is filed under the name Ananas comosus (pineapple). RNAcentral describes it as "long non-coding RNA (ACOM_LNC008655)". Lineage: Eukaryota; Viridiplantae; Streptophyta; Magnoliopsida; Poales; Bromeliaceae. The record is from RNAcentral.